AACGAACGCUGGCGGCAUGCCUAACACAUGCAAGUCGAACGAGACCUUCGGGUCUAGUGGCGCACGGGUGCGUAACGCGUGGGAACCUGCCCUUAGGUUCGGAAUAACUCCCCGACAGGGGUGCUAAUACCGGAUAAUGUCCUCGGACCAAAGAUUUAUCGCCUUUGGAUGGGCCCGCGUUGGUUUAGCUAGUUGGUAGGGUAAAAGCCUAUCAAGGCGACGAUCCAUAGCUGGUCUGAGAGGAUGAUCAGCCACACUGGGACUGAGACCCGGCCCAGACUCCUACGGGAGGCAGCAGUGGGGGAUAUUGGACAAUGGGCGAAAGCCUGAUCCAGCAAUGCCGCGUGAGUGAUGAAGGCCUUAGGGUUGUAAAGCUCUUUUACCCGGGAUGAUAAUGACAGUACCGGGAGAAUAAGCUCCGGCUAACUCCGUG
RNAcentral lists this ribosomal RNA (433 nucleotides) under uncultured bacterium. RNAcentral describes it as "partial 16S ribosomal RNA". It matches the Rfam family "Bacterial small subunit ribosomal RNA", at positions 29 to 507 of the family's 1533-position model. The record is from RNAcentral.